RNAcentral lists this ribosomal RNA (296 nucleotides) under uncultured bacterium. RNAcentral describes it as "partial 16S ribosomal RNA". It matches the Rfam family "Bacterial small subunit ribosomal RNA", at positions 775 to 1067 of the family's 1533-position model. The record is from RNAcentral.
GGAUUAGAUACCCUGGUAGUCUACGCUGUAAACGAUGUUCACUAGUUGCUGGGCGCCUUGGUGUGCUCAGUGACGUAGCUAACGCGUUAAGUGAACCGCCUGGGGAGUACGGUCGCAAGACUAAAACUCAAAGGAAUUGACGGGGACCCGCACAAGCGGUGGAGCAUGUGGUUUAAUUCGAAGCAACGCGCAGAACCUUACCUGGGUUUGACAUGAGAGGAAGUCUCGGUAAUGCGAGAUGUGCCCUUCGGGGAGCCUCUGCACAGGUGCUGCAUGGCUGUCGUCAGCUCGUGCUG